Molecule: ribosomal RNA, 301 nt
Filed under: uncultured bacterium
Lineage: Bacteria
Description: partial 16S ribosomal RNA
Rfam family: Bacterial small subunit ribosomal RNA
Source: RNAcentral
CAGCCGCCGCGGUAAUACGUAGGGUGCGAGCGUUAAUCGGAAUUACUGGGCGUAAAGCGUGCGCAGGCGGUUCGUUAAGACAGAUGUGAAAUCCCCGGGCUUAACCUGGGAACUGCAUUUGUGACUGGCGAGCUAGAGUAUGGCAGAGGGGGGUAGAAUUCCACGUGUAGCAGUGAAAUGCGUAGAGAUGUGGAGGAAUACCGAUGGCGAAGGCAGCCCCCUGGGCCAAUACUGACGCUCAUGCACGAAAGCGUGGGGAGCAAACAGGAUUAGAUACCCCGGUAGUCCCUGUCUCUUAUAA